AGAGUUUGAUCAUGGCUCAGGACGAACGCUGGCGGCGUGCUUAACACAUGCAAGUGGAGCGACGAACCAGGGCUUGCCCUGGGGCAAAGCCGCGAACGGGUGAGUAACACGUGGGUAACCUGCCCCGAUAACCGGGACAACCCGAGGAAACUCGGGCUAAUACCGGAUGUGGAACUUUCACAUCAGUGAAUUUUCUAAAGGUAGCUUCGGCUUCCGUAUUGGGAGGGGCCCGCGGCCCAUUAGCUUGUUGGUGAGGUAAUGGCUUACCAAGGCUUCGAUGGGUAGCUGGUCUGAGAGGACGAUCAGCCACACUGGGACUGAGACACGGCCCAGACUCCUACGGGAGGCAGCAGUGGGGAAUCUUGCGCAAUGCGCGAAAGCGUGACGCAGCAACGCCGCGUGCGGGAAGACGGCCUUCGGGUUGUAAACCGCUUUCAGUUGGGACGAAGCCUUUGCGGUUAAUAGCCGUGGAAGGUGACGGUACCUUCAGAAGAAGCCCCGGCUAACUACGUGCCAGCCGCCGCGGUAAUAC
This 532-nucleotide ribosomal RNA is filed under the name uncultured bacterium. RNAcentral's name for it is "bacterial SSU rRNA". It matches the Rfam family "Bacterial small subunit ribosomal RNA", at positions 8 to 526 of the family's 1533-position model. The record is from RNAcentral.